This is a non-coding RNA of Camellia sinensis, 682 nucleotides long. The record is from RefSeq and is a predicted model, not a curated record. Lineage: Eukaryota; Viridiplantae; Streptophyta; Magnoliopsida; Ericales; Theaceae.
AAAAAGAUGAAGGGUAUAGUUGGUAUUAAGGUGGGGGUUUAAAGAAAAAAUGAGGGGAUUCAUUUUGUUGGGUGGGGGUUCAAAGAAAUAGAGGGGCUAAAGUAAAGAGGUAGGUGCUAAUAUUAGCCCUCUUUAUAUUUACAAGUCCUAGGAUUUUGAGUGGAAAUGACCUAUUUACCCUUCCAGAAAAAACAACACCGUUCUCCCCAUUUCUACUCAUUUCACGAUUGUCAGGCUCUCUCUCUCUCUCUCUCUCUCUCUCUCUCUCUCUUUCUGCGUUAGACCCACCACCCUCUAUUCAGUCUUUCCCUUGCACUUUGGCGCAGUCCUUUUUCCCUUACUCUCAUCUCACUUCCUAAAGGCAGAGAUACAAAGGAUGUACUUCUUGAAAAGUUUGAUCUACAACAAAUUUUGGGCUACUUCUUGAGUUUGUUUGAUGGAACAUUAUGGGUCUAUAAUCCUUGCAUGCUAAGUGUUUGUUAAAAUGCAUGCAAGAGAAUUAUUGUUUUUGUAGGAUUCUUGUAUAUGAACUUAUUAGUUAAUUGUGUUGUGCCCUUUAAGUGUUUGAUGAAAUGCCUAUGACAAUGUACUUUGUUGGAAUUGGGUCAUGUAAUCUAUGUAAAUUUAUUAUUCUGUUAUGAAUUUCAUGGUGUAUGCAUACCAGGAAGUAGACAUUGUCAAA